AUAGAUGGAUUAGUGUUUGAAGUGUCCAGAGGAUCCAUAGAACAACAGAUAUCAAACAUACUUCCUCAAAAAAGUUGUGCUGUUUCUUGCCUAUGAAAACCCGCUGGGAAUGGUACUGCCUAUCUUAGUCCUGUGCUUCUCUGCCCUUAGAGCAGUUGUAUGCUGUGUCUUCUUGUAACAGAAAGAUACUCCCAUAGUCAAGGCCAAUAAUUAAAUUCUCAGUUAUGUCCUACUUAUCUCCUUCAUAUUUUCUUUUAUAUGUUUCUUGCUCUACAUUGGUCAUCCCACUAUGACCAGCUACAUCCUCCAAUAGAAAACAUUGGCCAUUGUGUUCAAUGUGGCUGCCUAUACUGUCUUGACAAAGAUAAUUAUUGUAGUACUGGCAUUCUAGAUUAUUGUGCCAGGAAAAAAUAUAACAGUGCUACUUUUGUCAGGUGCACCUUACUACAUCAUUCUCAUAUAUAUCAUGAUCCAGCUGAUACUUUGUGGAAUAUGACUGGGAUUUUUUCCUCUAUUUGUUGAUGCUAAUGUACACAUGUUGCAAGAUCACAUCAUCAUUGUUUGCAAUAAAUGUUCAGUGUUGGCUUUCUACUGUGUCCUAAGAUAUACUGGCUUUGUUGCAGCACAAAGUUUUACUGUACCAUUCCUCGCCAGGAAUUUAUAUGAUGCAUUCAAUGAAACCAAGCUCCUGACAUUCAGUAUGAUGAUAUUAUGCAAUGUGUAGAUCACUUUUCUUCCUGUCUUCCACAGCACUAAGGGCCAAAAACGGUUGCUGUGGAGGUCUUCUCUAUCUUAGAAUAUAGUGAAAAACUACCUUGUGUCUUUGCCUCAAAAUGCUAGAGUAAUUUAUUAAGACCAGAGAUUUCUUUUUACAA
Molecule: long non-coding RNA, 875 nt
Filed under: Mus musculus (house mouse)
Lineage: Eukaryota; Metazoa; Chordata; Mammalia; Rodentia; Muridae
Description: long non-coding RNA chr7:85581507-85582382
Source: RNAcentral